RNA transcript from Setaria italica (foxtail millet), 2765 nucleotides. RefSeq lists it as uncharacterized. The transcript is spliced from 6 exons. The record is from RefSeq and is a predicted model, not a curated record. NCBI's taxonomy places the organism in Eukaryota, Viridiplantae, Streptophyta, Magnoliopsida, Poales, Poaceae.
GCACCAUCUACAUCAAGGUUCAUGGUUCACAUUCAGUUGGGUGGGACAACAAAUUCUUGAUUUCAUUCUGGCGUCUACUACAAGCCUAGUAGUAGCCCACCCGCGAUGAACUACCAACAGUGCCCACACUGGCAUUGUCAUCCAGUUCUUCGUGCUCUCCCCCACCGGUCUGUCCGUACAAUUUCCGUCACAAACGUGCCAAGACAGCUGCUAAGGCAAGUGACAUAUCCAUUACUGUUGAAUUUGUGUACUUGUAUGCCUCAUGCUGUUGCUUCCUUUGUUGCAAUAUAGUUGCAGCUGCUGUCUACUGAGAAUAUGCAUUGUACACCUGGGCUCAGAUGGCUUGCAGCCGUGCCAACUGGGACAAGGGCCACACGAAAACAUGCUGGACCUGGUGCAUAGCUGAGAGGACCAAUUCAAUUGGGAGCACAGUGGCCUAGCCUAAGUUGGUAGUUAGGGAUAGCAGCACGUGUAACGCAACUUCAAACAAUAGACUGGUCUUAAUUUGGGCAGCAAGCAGCUGCAGAACAAGCUGCACACCAUGCAGAGAGCAUUCCUGAGCUGGAAGGACUUGCAAGUCCAAUCUGGUUUAGGCUGUGACAAAGAAACUGGUGGCGUUGCUGCUGAUUCCACCUUUUGGGAUGACGAUGAAGGGGAAACCAGUGCUGGUGCUGCCCAGACUAGUUCUGCUAAACCACCCCUGUUCCUCGACGAAUUGUACACGUUGUUCGGCCACACCACCCAAGACAGGGGCACCUUCUGACGACAGGAGGUAUUCGUGAGGCGACACCUAGCAUGGGGACUGAGGACAAUGCACAUGACAUUUACCUGGACCCAUGGCUGCUAGUAGUGCUCAUAACUUGUCUAAAAGGACAACCCGGGAAAUCUCUGUUGACAAUCCUCCGAAAAAGAAAAGUGGCAGCUUGGAGGACUAUGUCAGGGAACUUUCCAAAAUUGUGGUAACGAGGAGCCAGAAACGUGGCGACCGUGAGCAGGAGGAACUGGACCGUGCAAUGCAGCUUAUAGAAGAAGAUGGUAUCGAGGAGGGGUCUGAGUUGUACUGUCAUGCACUUUAUUUAUGUAAGAAUGUAGUGUAUCGGAGGGCCUUCACGAAGAUGAAAAUGAAAGAGGGCCGACUGAAUUGGAUCCAAUUCAACUGGGACAGGGAGAACAAGUAGUCCAUUGUGGCAUAAGUUUGUUUUAUUCUAGUGAUGUGUACUGAUGGGUUGAAACAAUAAUGUCUGAUGUACUGCAUGUUAAAUUUUUUUCAAGUUCAAUGUCGCCCAUGAUCUGUACUACAUGACCAUCUAUUUUUUACUUGUGUCACAACGCUUGUAAUUUCCAUAGUAUGUCUUAGUAGUGAUGAGGAAUUUUAAUGUGUGUUGUCAUUGUGCCGUGAACAGAAAGGUGGGGAGGCCAUUUGAGGCCCUCAGCAGGCGUCCAGGGAGGAGGAUUGGUUAGUUGUCCGGGCUUCCAUGGAGGAAAGGGAGGGCGAUUGACAGGCUCAUUCAAGUAUGAGUAGUGCUGAGGAAUCAAACAGCGACAUCGGCAGUGAUUCUAGCUCCAUCGUGUACUAGCUGGCGAGUGUAGCAGCAGCUAUAGCAGCAUAUGUCGCCGUGAAUAGAAGCCCACCUCCUGUGGUGAACCCGCCAGUGGAGUUACCACGCAUGACCGGACGGCAAUGGGUUGAGCUCAAUAUGCAGGAAAGCUGGAGGUGCUACGACAAUUUUCGUAUAUAUCCUGACGUGUUCCUUCAGUUGCAUGACAUCUUGGUUAACAAUCAUGGGUUGCAAUCGUCACAAGGGGUAGAAUCUAUUGAGGCUUUAGGUAUGUUCGUCUGGGCUUGUGCGACACAACAGGCUUCCUGUCAAAUUAGAGAUAGAUUUGAGCGGAGUUUGGACACAGUUAGUAGGAAGAUGGCGCAUGUGGCAGAUGUAAUGUUCUCAUUUGCCCAGACGGUAAUCGCUCCAAAGGAUCCUGCGUACUCCAAGGUUAAUCAUAGGCUGAACCAGUAUGCACCGUUCUUUGAUGGGUGUAUAGGUGCUCUAGAUGGAACCCACGUUCCCGUAUAGGUCGGGCGUGAGUCCCAUUUGGACUUCAUUAAUAGAAAAUGGUGGACAAGCUUUAAUGUGUUAGCGAUAGUGGAUAUGGAAAUGCGGUUCACCUAUGUAGGAGCGGGGAGGGCAGGGUCCAGUCAUGACAUGUCGGUGUUGCGGGAGUGUAUGGAGACACCAAACUACCCGCAUCCACCUCCAGGAAGGUAUUAUUUGGUGAACUCGGGUUAUGCAGUUCGUGAAGGCUAUCUGGGGCCUUAUUGAAGUACCAGGUACCAUUUGGAGGAAUUCAGCAAAAGAGCGACUGAAAGUUUGGAGGAGAAAUUCAACUUCCACCAUUCGAGUCUUCGCAAUGUUGUCGAACGAGCUUUUGGCGUGCUCAAAUCCAGGUGGCAUAUUUUGUGGCAAGUACCAUUCUAUAAUCGAGAGAGGCAAACGAAGAUCGUUAUUGCUUGCUUUGCACUCCACAAUUAUUUGCUGGACCGUGCCGAUGUAAGUACUGUAGAUUCGAACAUGGUGCGAACUCCAGAUUACGAGGUAUCCGCAUGGGUCGCAGCAAAUGCUACUCCUGAUAUGGCCAGUGUACGAGAUUGGAUCGCGGCAGGAAUCUCAUUGAUGUAGAUGUAUGCGUAUGUGUGUACGUUUGUGUUAUAUGUUGUAUGUAAGCAAUUGAUGUGCAAUAUGUUAUUCUAGUGUGUGGCUUAUUUUGUA